UACGAAGGGGGCUAGCGUUGCUCGGAAUUACUGGGCGUAAAGGGCGCGUAGGCGGAUAGUUUAGUCAGAGGUGAAAGCCCAGGGCUCAACCUUGGAAUUGCCUUUGAUACUGGCUAUCUUGAGUUCGGGAGAGGUGAGUGGAAUGCCGAGUGUAGAGGUGAAAUUCGUAGAUAUCGGGAGGAACACCUGUGGCGAAAGCGGCUCACUGGACCGCAACUGACGCUGAGGCGCGAAAGCUAGGGGAGCAAACAGG
This 253-nucleotide ribosomal RNA is filed under the name uncultured bacterium. Its description in RNAcentral is "partial 16S ribosomal RNA". It matches the Rfam family "Bacterial small subunit ribosomal RNA", at positions 524 to 776 of the family's 1533-position model. The record is from RNAcentral.